UGGGGAAUAUUGCACAAUGGGCGGAAGCCUGAUGCAGCGACGCCGCGUGGGGGAUGACGGCCUUCGGGUUGUAAACUCCUUUCGACAGGGACGAAGCUUUUUGUGACGGUACCUGUAUAAGAAGCACCGGCUAACUACGUGCCAGCAGCCGCGGUAAUACGUAGGGUGCGAGCGUUGUCCGGAAUUACUGGGCGUAAAGAGCUCGUAGGUGGUUUGUCGCGUCGUCUGUGAAAUUCCGGGGCUUAACUCCGGGCGUGCAGGCGAUACGGGCAUAACUUGAGUGCUGUAGGGGAGACUGGAAUUCCUGGUGUAGCGGUGAAAUGCGCAGAUAUCAGGAGGAACACCGAUGGCGAAGGCAGGUCUCUGGGCAGUAACUGACGCUGAGGAGCGAAAGCAUGGGUAGCGAACAGG
This 411-nucleotide ribosomal RNA is filed under the name Bacillota bacterium. RNAcentral describes it as "Firmicutes bacterium partial 16S ribosomal RNA". It matches the Rfam family "Bacterial small subunit ribosomal RNA", at positions 355 to 776 of the family's 1533-position model. Lineage: Bacteria; Bacillati; Bacillota. RNAcentral also lists the same sequence under 2 other names. The record is from RNAcentral.